GGACCCGCACAAGCGGUGGAGCAUGUGGUUUAAUUCGAUGCAACGCGAAGAACCUUACCAGGGUUUGACAUCCUGCGAAUCUCUUGGAAACGAGAGAGUGCCUUCGGGAGCGCAGUGACAGGUGGUGCAUGGCUGUCGUCAGCUCGUGUCGUGAGAUGUUGGUUAAGUCCCGCAACGAGCGCAACCCACGUCUUUAGUUGCCAGCAUUUAGUUGGGCACUCUAGAGAGACCGCCGGUGAUAAACCGGAGGAAGGUGUGGAUGACGUCAAGUCAUCAUGCCCCUUACAUCCUGGGCUACACACGUGCUACAAUGGUCGGUACAGAAAGCAGCCACUAUGCGAAUAGGAG
RNAcentral lists this ribosomal RNA (348 nucleotides) under uncultured bacterium. RNAcentral's name for it is "bacterial SSU rRNA". It matches the Rfam family "Bacterial small subunit ribosomal RNA", at positions 917 to 1267 of the family's 1533-position model. The record is from RNAcentral.